GCCGGGGUAGCCAAGCGGACUACGGCGCCAGUCUUGAAAACUGGUGCUCCUUGCGAGCCCAUGGGUUCGAAUCCCAUCCCCGGCGCCA
RNAcentral lists this transfer RNA (88 nucleotides) under Candidatus Bathyarchaeota archaeon RBG_13_52_12. RNAcentral's name for it is "tRNA-Ser". It matches the Rfam family "tRNA". Rfam says of the family: Transfer RNA (tRNA) molecules are approximately 80 nucleotides in length. The record is from RNAcentral. Lineage: Archaea; Thermoproteati; Candidatus Bathyarchaeota.